CCUACGGGAGGCAGCAGUGGGGGAUAUUGCACAAUGGGGGGAACCCUGAUGCAGCGACGCCGCGUGGGUGAAGGAGUGCUUCGGCAUGUAAAGCCCUAUCGGCAGGGAAGAAGCAAGACGGUACCUGACUAAGAAGCCCCGGCUAACUACGUGCCAGCAGCCGCGGUAAUACGUAGGGGGCGAGCGUUAUCCGGAUUCACUGGGUGUAAAGGGAGCGUAGACGGCCAUGCAAGCCAGGGGUGAAAGCCCGGGGCCCAACCCCGGGACUGCCCUUGGAACUGCAUGGCUGGAGUGCGGGAGGGGCAGGGGGGAUUCCUGGUGUAGGGGGGGAAUGCGUAGAUAUCAGGAGGAACAACGGCGGCGAAGGCGGCCUGCUGGACCGCGACUGACGUUGAGGCUCGAAAGCGUGGGGAGCGAACAGGAUUAGAUACCCCAGUAGUC
Molecule: ribosomal RNA, 441 nt
Filed under: uncultured bacterium
Lineage: Bacteria
Description: partial 16S ribosomal RNA
Rfam family: Bacterial small subunit ribosomal RNA
Source: RNAcentral